UACGGAGGAUGCAAGCGUUAUCCGGAAUUAUUGGGCGUAAAGGGUCCGCAGGUGGCUUAUUAAGUCUGCAGUGAAAGACCGGGGCUUAACCCUGGAAAGGCAGUGGAAACUGAGAAGCUAGAGUGUGGCAGGGGCAGAGGGAAUUCCCGGUGUAGCGGUGAAAUGCGUAGAUAUCGGAAGGAACAUCAGUGGCGAAAGCGGCUUCCUGGACCAAUACUGACGCUCAUGUGCGAAAGCGUGGGGAGCAAACAGG
RNAcentral lists this ribosomal RNA (253 nucleotides) under uncultured bacterium. RNAcentral describes it as "partial 16S ribosomal RNA". It matches the Rfam family "Bacterial small subunit ribosomal RNA", at positions 524 to 776 of the family's 1533-position model. The record is from RNAcentral.